CCUACGGGAGGCAGCAGUGGGGGAUAUUGCACAAUGGGGGGAACCCUGAUGCAGCGACGCCGCGUGGGUGAAGAAGCGCCUCGGCGCGUAAAGCUCUGUCAGCAGGGAAGAAAAUUACGGUACCUGAGUAAGAAGCCCCGGCUAACUACGUUCAAGCAGCCGCGGUACUACGUAGGGGGCCAGCGUUAUCCGGAUUUACUGGGUGUAAAGGGAGCGCAGACGGUGAGACAAGUCUGAAGUGAAAGCCCGCGGCUCAACCCCGGGACUGCUUUGGAAACUGCCUGACUGGAGUGCUGGAGAGGCAAGCGGAAUUCCUAGUGUAGCGGUGAAAUGCGUAGAUAUUAGGAAGAACACCAGUGGCGAAGGCGGCUUGCUGGACAGUAACUGACGUUGAGGCUCGAAAGCGUGGGGAGCAAACAGGAUUAGAUACCCGAGUAGUC
This 440-nucleotide ribosomal RNA is filed under the name uncultured bacterium. RNAcentral's name for it is "partial 16S ribosomal RNA". It matches the Rfam family "Bacterial small subunit ribosomal RNA", at positions 338 to 795 of the family's 1533-position model. The record is from RNAcentral.